Molecule: ribosomal RNA, 1704 nt
Filed under: Triticum aestivum (bread wheat)
Lineage: Eukaryota; Viridiplantae; Streptophyta; Magnoliopsida; Poales; Poaceae
Description: partial small subunit ribosomal RNA
Source: RNAcentral
AUGCAAGCCGAGGAAGACGCCGAGUUCGUGGGUGCGCGGGUGGAGGCCGGCCUCCGCGCCGCCCGCUUCUCCUCGCCGCCGUCGUCGGAGGAGUUCGCGGCCUCCAUCGAGCCCAAGAACGUCCCCGCCGUAUUCCGCGGCGUGCUCAAGGGGUCAGCCGCCUCCCCUCGGUGGGAUCCUCUCCAUGGUGGCCUCGACUACUUGCUGGAGAAGGUGGGGCCUGAUGUUGCGGUGGAAGCCAUGAUGUCGAGCACCGGGCACGUGUUCUACGGGGAUCUCAGAAGUCAUGAGAGGGUUUCUAUCCCAUUCUCCACAUUCAUGCAUUCCUGCAAAUCUUACCUGGGGCAUCUGAAUGCUGCUAGUGAUUCGUCCAAAGAUAAAGGUAUUGGGGAGGAGCCAACUUGUUCAGGGGAAAUGUGCUCAGCUGGCUUGGAGAUUUCCGAGCAACUCUACUUAGCACAGGUGUCAAUCCUCAACACUGAGAACAAAGAGAGAUGCUCGUUAGAAGUUUUAAAAGAGGACAUUCAGGAGCCUAUAUUUCUGAAAGGAAAACCAUUUUCAUCAAUAAACUUCUGGAUGAGUAGGGCUCACAUGAGAUCAAGUACCCAUUAUGAUCCUCACCAUAACCUUCUCUGCGUGGUGGCUGGAUGCAAGAAAGUAACUUUGUGGUCUCCCUCCGCAUCCCCAUUUUUGUAUCCAAUGCCUGUAUACGGGGAGGCCUCCAACCAUAGCGGUGUCAGUAUUGAGGAACCAGACUAUUCAAGUUACACAAGAGCAAAAUACAUGAAGGAGUAUUCUGAAAGGGUUGUCCUAAAUUGUGGCGAUGCUCUUUUCAUACCAGAAGGAUGGUAUCACCAAGUAGACAGUGAUGAUUUGACCAUAGCAAUUAACUUUUGGUGGAAAUCAAGAAUAAUGACUGAAAUGUUAGAGCAUAUGGAUGCCUACUAUCUACGCCGAAUUUUAAGGAGAUUGGUGGAUACAGAGAUGAACAAAAUAGUGCAGAAAAAUUUCUUCAGACAUGCGAAAGAAAACAACGGUUUUCAGCCAACAGACAAAGAAUUGAGAGGCUCUGAGCAAUUCAAUUUGCACAACGAGGUUAAAAGUCAUGAUACAUCUGACAAGAAAGGUGCACGGGAUACAUCUGACAAGAAAGGCGCAGCUGAUACAUCUGGCAAGAAAGGUGCACCAUUGCAAUCUUUGGAACCCAGCACCCUACAAGCGCUUUAUGAACUCAUGUCAAUGGUUCAUGACAGUGUUGAAGCGGUUGACCAAAAUGACAUAGCAGAAUCUGCAUCUCAGGAUACAUCUUCCAGCCAAAGCAAUGAAAGAAAGAAGACUGCUGCAGAUGAUUCAUCUCUCUUGGAGAAAGACCCCGUUGCAAAAAUCAUUUUGCCAGUUGAACCACUCGAGUUGCGGAGUAUGCUACUAGCAAUGGUGCAUACUUUCCCAAGGACAUUAGAAGGUUUAGUCCUCAACAUACUUGGACCUACAGGAGCAGAGAUACUGACUAGGAAGUUUGACGAGAUGGAUCAACAAACCACAACAGAAGAACAGACUGAGUUCUACAAGACAUUCUACAGUGCAUUUGAUGACCAAUAUGCUGCAAUGGACACACUUCUCAAUAGGAAGGAACUGUUUUCUUUCCAGGUGUUCCAGAGUGUCCUUGACCAAUAUCUUAGGGUGCAUGUUGAUCGGCCUAGCUAA